GCGACGGCCGGUCGCCACGGCAACUGGGCUUGGCUGACAGGUUGUAGUAAUUAGUGAGGGAGAGAGAAAUGGAGUUUGGGGAAUGAAUGAGGGGCGAGGAAGCGACCCGCAUGAACACUACGUUCAUCAGGAGCUGCUGGAGACCAGAAGAGAAGCAUCGGGUGAACAGAGACACAGAAUGGAUGUGCGAGUACGGAUUAUACAGGAGAAAGUGUUAUCCGGACCCAUUGGUCUGUGGACUGCUGUCAUGAAGCCUUGAGUACGGCAAUUUCGGCAUCAUGUUCUUGGAAUACUGCCAGCGCCAUCUUCGCCUUUUGGCCGCCAAUGAACAGACGUU
Long non-coding RNA from Gasterosteus aculeatus aculeatus (three-spined stickleback), 337 nucleotides. Lineage: Eukaryota; Metazoa; Chordata; Actinopteri; Perciformes; Gasterosteidae. The record is from Ensembl.